UUGCGGGAAUCUAUUGUGUGUAUCCUUCCCAACUUCACACUUCAUGUUGGUAGCUUGAAAUAGACUAUGUGGGAUAUUUACACUAUGGAUAUUGACAAAGGCUACAAUUAUAAUAGUUCUUUCCCAUCCCCCUUUCCCUCCAAAUAUACACACCAGCUUGGGGAACCUAUUGGAAUACAUUUACCAACACAUCAUUGGUUGACUCCCAGAUUUGGUAUUUAGUGUUCAUAUUAUGAUUUUAUUCUAAAAUCUUAUUUCUUCUUUACUCUUCGGUUGUUUAGAAGUAUUUGUUAAAAUUUCCAGAUAUAUUAAAUUUGUUGUUGUUGCUUCUGGCUUUUAAUUUUAUUGUGAUGUGGUCUAUAGAAUGCUACUUCUUUGGCAUUUGUUAGGACGUGGUUGGUAGCAUACUAUAUGGUCAAUUUAUUAAUUUGUAAUUUUUUAAUUAAAAAAGGUUUUAGAGACAGGAUCUCGCUAUGUUUCCCAGGCUGGAGUGCAGUCACUAUUCACAGGCAAAAGCAUAGCACACUACAGCCCUUUAACUCCUGGGCUCA
Molecule: long non-coding RNA, 551 nt
Filed under: Homo sapiens (human)
Lineage: Eukaryota; Metazoa; Chordata; Mammalia; Primates; Hominidae
Description: non-protein coding lnc-COX10-9:1
Source: RNAcentral